AUGACUUCAAGGACAAAUGUGACAAUCUCACCCUUCAAAGGCCGACAACAUCAUAGAUCUUCGUUCAAUCAUUCUCAGGGAAUAAAUGGACGGGAUAUCGAAGCUCAUGCCCCUAGUCACAAAAGAAAUAUGUUAUCUAGGAACAUCUUUAACAUUAGGAUCCCCAAAUCCAUCAAAUAUCCACCAAAGCUCGACAACUAUGGCAAGAUUAGGGAUCUAGAUGAACAUAUUGAACAUGUGGUCAUUCUGCUUGUCUAUUUCCACGCCAAGAGCGCAAUAAAGUGA
Molecule: non-coding RNA, 285 nt
Organism: Vicia faba (fava bean)
Lineage: Eukaryota; Viridiplantae; Streptophyta; Magnoliopsida; Fabales; Fabaceae
Source: the annotation of a GenBank genome assembly